RNAcentral lists this ribosomal RNA (501 nucleotides) under uncultured bacterium. RNAcentral's name for it is "partial 16S ribosomal RNA". It matches the Rfam family "Bacterial small subunit ribosomal RNA", at positions 30 to 523 of the family's 1533-position model. The record is from RNAcentral.
AUUGAACGCUGGCGGCAGGCUUAACACAUGCAAGUCGAGCGGGGGAAGGUAGCUUGCUACCGGACCUAGCGGCGGACGGGUGAGUAAUGCUUAGGAAUCUGCCUAUUAGUGGGGGACAACAUCCCGAAAGGGAUGCUAAUACCGCAUACGUCCUUCGGGAGAAAGAAGGGGAUCUUCGGACCUUGCGCUAAUAGAUGAGCCUAAGUCGGAUUAGCUAGUUGGGGGGGUAAAGGCCUACCAAGGCGACGAUCUGUAGCGGGUCUGGGAGGAUGAGCCGCCACACUGGGACUGAGACACGGCCCAGACUCCUACGGGAGGCAGCAGUGGGGAAUAUUGGACAAUGGGGGGAACCCUGAUCCAGCCAUGCCGCGUGUGUGAAGAAGGCCUUAUGGUUGUAAAGCACUUUAAGCGAGGAGGAGGCUACUCUAGUUAAUACCUAGGGAUAGUGGACGUUACUCGCAGAAUAAGCACCGGCUAACUCUGUGCCAGCAGCCGCCGUAA